UGGGGAAUAUUGCACAAUGGGCGCAAGCCUGAUGCAGCCAUGCCGCGUGUAUGAAGAAGGCCUUCGGGUUGUAAAGUACUUUCAGCGGGGAGGAAGGGAGUAAAGAUAAUACCUUUGCUCAUUGACGUUACCCGCAGAAGAAGCACCGGCUAACUCCGUGCCAGCAGCCGCGGUAAUACGGAGGGUGCAAGCGUUAAUCGGAAUUACUGGGCGUAAAGCGCACGCAGGCGGUUUGUUAAGUCAGAUGUGAAAUCCCCGGGCUCAACCUGGGAACUGCAUCUGAUACUGGCAAGCUUGAGUCUCGUAGAGGGGGGUAGAAUUCCAGGUGUAGCGGUGAAAUGCGUAGAGAUCUGGAGGAAUACCGGUGGCGAAGGCGGCCCCCUGGACGAAGACUGACGCUCAGGUGCGAAAGCGUGGGGAGCAAACAGG
This 429-nucleotide ribosomal RNA is filed under the name Chloroflexota bacterium. RNAcentral describes it as "Chloroflexi bacterium partial 16S ribosomal RNA". It matches the Rfam family "Bacterial small subunit ribosomal RNA", at positions 355 to 776 of the family's 1533-position model. The record is from RNAcentral. Lineage: Bacteria; Bacillati; Chloroflexota.